This 253-nucleotide ribosomal RNA is filed under the name uncultured bacterium. RNAcentral describes it as "partial 16S ribosomal RNA". It matches the Rfam family "Bacterial small subunit ribosomal RNA", at positions 524 to 776 of the family's 1533-position model. The record is from RNAcentral.
UACGAAGGGGGCAAGCGUUAUUCGGAAUGACUGGGCGUAAAGGGCGUGUAGGUGGAUUUGUACGUUUGAUGUGAAAGUCCUGGGCUUAACCUAGGGAUUGCAUUGAAUACGGCAAGUCUAGAGCGUGAGAGGGGAAAACGGAAUUGCGGGUGUAGAGGUGAAAUUCGUAGAUAUCCGCAGGAACACCAAUGGCGAAGGCAGUUUUCUGGCUCAUGGCUGACACUGAGGCGCGAAAGCGUGGGGAGCAAACAGG